Non-coding RNA from Ceratobasidium sp. 370, 94 nucleotides. Lineage: Eukaryota; Fungi; Basidiomycota; Agaricomycetes; Cantharellales; Ceratobasidiaceae. The record is from the annotation of a GenBank genome assembly.
GACCUCUUAGCUCAGUGGUAGAGCGUGUGAUUCCAGCCUAAGUAAGCUCAUAGGUGAUUCCACAAGGUCAUCCGUUCAACUCGGGUAGGGGUCA